UGAGCAAACUUUCAGGUGUGU
RNAcentral lists this microRNA (21 nucleotides) under Bombyx mori (domestic silkworm). Its description in RNAcentral is "bmo-miR-87". Its record names the gene bmo-miR-87. Lineage: Eukaryota; Metazoa; Arthropoda; Insecta; Lepidoptera; Bombycidae. The record is from miRBase by way of RNAcentral.